AGUGAACGCUGGCGGUAGGCCUAACACAUGCAAGUCGAACGGCAGCACAGUAAGAGCUUGCUCUUACGGGUGGCGAGUGGCGGACGGGUGAGGAAUACAUCGGAAUCUACUUUUUCGUGGGGGAUAACGCAGGGAAACUUACGCUAAUACCGCAUACGACCUACGGGUGAAAGCAGGGGAUCUUCGGACCUUGCGCGAUUGAAUGAGCCGAUGUCGGAUUAGCUAGUUGGCGGGGUAAAGGCCCACCAAGGCGACGAUCCGUAGCUGGUCUGAGAGGAUGAUCAGCCACACUGGAACUGAGACACGGUCCAGACUCCUACGGGAGGCAGCAAUGGGGAAUAUUGGACAAUGGGCGCAAGCCUGAUCCAGCCAUACCGCGUGGGUGAAGAAGGCCUUCGGGUUGUAAAGCCCUUUUGUUGGGAAAGAAAAGCAGCAGGUUAAUACCCCGCUGUUCUGACGGUACCCAAAGAAUAAGCACCGGCUAACUUCGUG
This 492-nucleotide ribosomal RNA is filed under the name uncultured bacterium. RNAcentral describes it as "partial 16S ribosomal RNA". It matches the Rfam family "Bacterial small subunit ribosomal RNA", at positions 29 to 507 of the family's 1533-position model. The record is from RNAcentral.